Long non-coding RNA from Oryzias melastigma (Indian medaka), 321 nucleotides. RefSeq lists it as uncharacterized. The transcript is spliced from 2 exons. Lineage: Eukaryota; Metazoa; Chordata; Actinopteri; Beloniformes; Adrianichthyidae. The record is from RefSeq and is a predicted model, not a curated record.
GAAGGUACUCAUAAGAACUUGACACUGGAGGUCACUUUUUAAUGACCAGACCUCUUCCACUGAAAACGACAUCGCAGAAAGCAUUCCAGCUACGGUCAGCCAUCUCAGAAGAAAUGGGAUUGGAUGUUGCUGUUGGAAUUGAAGGUGUUCAAGACCUCAGGAACACACAUUAGACACAUUAGAAGAACUCCUUUUCUACCAAACUAAAUUGUGGUAAUUGGCUUUGAGGUCUUUUGAAUUCCUACAAAUCCGAAAGUUUUUGCCAUUUCUUUUUCUCCUUUUUUAUUUCCCCUUUUCAAGAUCUGCUUAAAAUCUUGUAGA